AGCAGCCGCGGUAAUUCCAGCUCCAAUAGCGUAUAUUAAAGUUGUUGCAGUUAAAAAGCUCGUAGUUGAAUUUCGGGAUUAGUACGUUGGUCGUGCCUUCGGUACGUACUGGUGUUACUGAUUCCUACCUUCUGACGAACCAUCAUGUCAUUAAUUUGGUGUGGCGGGGAAUCAGGACUGUUACUUUGAAAAAAUUAGAGUGUUUAAAGCAGGCUCGCGCUUGAAUACAUUAGCAUGGAAUAAUGAAAUAGGACGUUGACCCUAUUUUGUUGGUUUCUAGGAUUGACGUAAUGAUUAAUAGGGAUAGUUGGGGGCAUUAGUAUUCAAUUGCCAGAGGUGAAAUUCUUGGAUUUAUUGAAGACUAACUACUGCGAAAGCAUUUGCCAAGGAUGUUUUCAUUAAUCAAGAACGAAAGCUAGGGAUCGAAGACGAUCAGAUACCGUCGUAGUCUUAACCAUAAACUAUGCCGACUAGGGAUCGGAUGAUGUUAUUUUUAUGUACUCAUUCGGCGCCUUACGGG
RNAcentral lists this ribosomal RNA (520 nucleotides) under uncultured Glomus. Its description in RNAcentral is "SSU rRNA". It matches the Rfam family "Eukaryotic small subunit ribosomal RNA", at positions 569 to 1094 of the family's 1831-position model. The record is from RNAcentral. Lineage: Eukaryota; Fungi; Glomeromycota; Glomeromycetes; Glomerales; Glomeraceae.